This is an RNA transcript of Manihot esculenta (cassava), 1295 nucleotides long. It is a transcript of the gene named probable serine/threonine-protein phosphatase 2A regulatory subunit B'' subunit TON2, with no coding region annotated. NCBI's taxonomy places the organism in Eukaryota, Viridiplantae, Streptophyta, Magnoliopsida, Malpighiales, Euphorbiaceae. The record is from RefSeq and is a predicted model, not a curated record. The transcript is spliced from 6 exons.
GAGUUUCGGAGCACGACAAAGAAAAAAAAAAUUCCUAUUUUUCACAGAAGCUUUCGGAUCCGAAAGGGUUUUGGGUUUUCACUCUGCGAUGCCCAUAGUUCUAAGUGUUUUUGGUCUCCUAUUCGAAACUGUUAUCGAACUCUGAACUCGCUCGAUUCAACUUUGUUAAAUUGGAUUCUUGCUCUUGGCCAUGUACAGUGGGUCCAUCGAUGGCGAGAGCCAUGAGGCCGCUCAGAGGAAGAUCCCACCGGCCUCGUCAAUGUUGUGGGUCCGAAAUCUGCGCCGGUAUAUCGGAUCCGGUGUCGGACUGGGAUCUGAAGCCCUAAUGGAGCUCGAGACAAAGAGGAUCUUGCUUGAUAUUUUCAAAGAGAAGCAACAAAGAAGUGCUGAAGCGGCCACAGUACCUAGUUUUUAUAAGAAGAAACCUGAAGAAGGGUCAAUCAGUCACAGGGUCCAAAGGUUAGCAAAAUAUCGAUUUUUAAAGAAACAAUCAGAUAUUUUGCUUAAUGCUGAUGAUCUGGAUGCCAUGUGGGUGUGCUUGAGAGAGAACUGUGUUAUUGAUGAUGCUACUGGUGCUGAAAAGGUCUGUGAGAAUUGCAGAUAUGGACAUACUUGCAGCAUUUAUGUAACGGAUACACUGACAAUAGGUGUGUUUCAUGCCAUGGGUAAAUUUUAUGUAAUUGUUCAUUCAUCAUGGAUUUAUGCAAUGCAAAUGGGUAAAUUUUAGCAAAGGAAAUGAAAUCAAUGCAAAAUUAUACUGCAGGUUUUGUACGGAUGGAUCAUUGUGUAAAUAAACCAUGCUUGUUAUUGAAUAUCUAAAAUCUAUUUGCUGAUCAUUUAGAAUGAUUUAGCCUGACGCAAUCAAAUCUGCCAUUCUGACCACAGCUAAAUCCAUGAGUGCGAGAAUUAACAGCGAAGCAGAAUUUGCCUAUGGUGCUGGUCAAGUAAAUCCAACAAGAGCUAGAAGCCCUCAGCAGCUUUGACACCAAGAUUGCUUGUGAAUGACGAUAUGAUCAAACAGGUGCAAAGUUUGAAGAUGAUGGUUCUGAUACAAUAGAAAGAGGUUGCUGCUUGUAAUGUGGGCAAAGGUUGCAUAUGGAGCAUAAUUUUGCGAAGUAAAUGGAAAUUAGAGGCUGCAGCUUUUGAUUCUUUGGCUUUUGAAGUCAAUCAGUUGAAUUGAAAACCGUUAACUUGGAAGCUUUAGAACACUGGAACUUUGUCAUCCGCAGUUCCCUGUAAAUUUUGCUUUGUACGUAAUAAUAAUAUUUUUUAAGUUUAUCUGCAUUUUCAAUGCU